AGCCUGAGAUCUGAUGGGUAGACGCAAGUCGAAAUCGGUGAUCCUAUGCUGCCAAGAAAAGCAUCGACGCGAGGUUCUAGCUGCCCGUACCCCAAACCGACUCAGGUGGUCAGGUAGAGAAUACUAAGGAGAUCGAGAGAAUCGUGGUUAAGGAACUCGGCAAAAUGCCCCCGUAACUUCGGGAGAAGGGGGGCCUGAGGCGUGAACGGACUUGCUCCGGGAGCGUUCGAUGGCCGCAGAGACCAGUGGGAAGCGACUGUUUACUAAAAACACAGGUCCGUGCUAAGUCGCAAGACGAUGUAUACGGACUGACGCCUGCCCGGUGCUGGAAGGUUAAGAGGAACGGUUAGCCGCAAGGCGAAGCUGAGAAUUUAAGCCCCAGUAAACGGCGGUGGUAACUAUAACCAUCCUAAGGUAGCGAAAUUCCUUGUCGGGUAAGUUCCGACCUGCACGAAUGGCGUAACGACUUCCCAGCUGUCUCAACCGCGAACUCGGCGAAAUUGCAUUACGAGUAAAGAUGCUCGUUACGCGCAGCAGGACGGAAAGACCCCGUGACCUUUACUAUAGUUUGGUAUUGGUGUUCGGUGUGGCUUGUGUAGGAUAGGUGGGAGACGUUGAAGUGGGCACGCUAGUGUUCGUGGAGUCAUUGUUGAAAUACCACUCUGGUCACUCUGGAUAUCUAACUUCGGACCCUAAUCGGGUUCAGGGACAGUGCCUGAUGGGUAGUUUAACUGGGGCGGUUGCCUCCCAAAGAGUAACGGAGGCGCCCAAAGGUUCCCUCAACCUGGUUGGCAAUCAGGUGGCGAGUGUAAGUGCACAAGGGAGCUUGACUGUGAGACUGACAAGUCGAGCAGGGACGAAAGUCGGGACUAGUGAUCCGGCAGUGGCUUGUGGAAGCGCUGUCGCUCAACGGAUAAAAGGUACCUCGGGGAUAACAGGCUGAUCUUGCCCAAGAGUCCAUAUCGACGGCAUGGUUUGGCACCUCGAUGUCGGCUCGUCGCAUCCUGGGGCUGGAGUAGGUCCCAAGGGUUGGGCUGUUCGCCCAUUAAAGCGGUACGCGAGCUGGGUUUAGAACGUCGUGAGACAGUUCGGUCCCUAUCCGCUGCGCGCGCAGGAAAUUUGAGAAGAUCUAUCCCUAGUACGAGAGGACCGGGAUGGACGAACCUCUGGUGUGUCAGUUGUUCCGCCAGGAGCACCGCUGAUUAGCUACGUUCGGAACGGAUAACCGCUGAAAGCAUCUAAGCGGGAAGCCGGCUUCGAGAUGAGAUUUCCAUCCCUUCGGGGGAGAGGCUCCCAGCCAGACGACUGGGUUGAUAGGCCGGAUGUGGAAGACAGGACUAAAGACUGUCGGAGCUGACCGGUACUAAUAAGCCGAUAACUUGAUAA
RNAcentral lists this ribosomal RNA (1386 nucleotides) under Rathayibacter sp. AY1A2. RNAcentral describes it as "bacterial LSU rRNA". It matches the Rfam family "Bacterial large subunit ribosomal RNA", at positions 1553 to 2925 of the family's 2925-position model. Lineage: Bacteria; Bacillati; Actinomycetota; Actinomycetes; Micrococcales; Microbacteriaceae. The record is from RNAcentral.